RNAcentral lists this unclassified non-coding RNA (256 nucleotides) under Hevea brasiliensis (rubber tree). The record is from RNAcentral. Lineage: Eukaryota; Viridiplantae; Streptophyta; Magnoliopsida; Malpighiales; Euphorbiaceae.
CAAAAAUAGAAAAAUUCAUGGAUAUGGGCUCAUGAUACAGCAGUAUGGGAAGAUUCAUGAGCAGACAAAACAUGUGGUCAAGUGACCCAUCAGUCAUUGAAAUAUCAUGUGUUACCAAGAAUAGUGAGAGAAAAGGAUGAAACAUGCAGAAUCUAAAUAAAGGAUGGCAAGAAAGUACUGGCAAAUAAGGAGAAUAGUAGCAGCAAAUAAAGGUCACUGUGUGACAUUCCAAAUUCCACAGAAAAGGCUGAAAAAG